AUACGGAGGGUGCAAGCGUUACUCGGAAUCACUGGGCGUAAAGCGCGCGCAGGCGGCCUGAUAAGUUGGAUGUGAAAGCCUACGGCUCAACCGUAGAACUGCAUCCAAAACUGUCAGGCUAGAGUGUGGGAGAGGAAGAUGGAAUUAGUUGUGUAGGGGUAAAAUCCGUAGAGAUAACUAGGAAUACCAAAAGCGAAGGCGAUCUUCUGGAACAGUACUGACGCUGAGGCGCGAAAGCGUGGGGAGCAAACAGGAUUAGAUACCCCUGUAGUCC
RNAcentral lists this ribosomal RNA (274 nucleotides) under uncultured bacterium. RNAcentral describes it as "partial 16S ribosomal RNA". It matches the Rfam family "Bacterial small subunit ribosomal RNA", at positions 523 to 796 of the family's 1533-position model. The record is from RNAcentral.